UUAUUUAUGUGAUAAGGCUGCAGCUAUUACAAUGUCAGAUGGUGAGGGCCACACAUUCAAGCACAUUGAAGUGCCCCAAGAUCAGUUGAAGGAAUCCAAUAACAAUUUCACAAGUUUAUAUUUGUCCUCAAAGAUAAAGGGAGGGAAUAAUGACACAAUUUUUAUGGGCUCUCCAUGUAGGGCUGAACAACACUCUUUAUAAAGAUGGAUACAGGCCUGAAGCGAGACAAGUCACCAAACACAUGAAGUAGAGAGCCUUUCCACCAAACAGACCAACAACAGUGUUCUGUUGUGUUUGAUUAAACAUUAUGGACACUUACCACGCUGCGCAUCGGUCCUCCGAUCCUUCUCGCUACUCCACCUCAGAAGAGGAGGGCGAGAUCCGUUACA
Long non-coding RNA from Oncorhynchus masou masou (cherry salmon), 390 nucleotides. RefSeq lists it as uncharacterized. NCBI's taxonomy places the organism in Eukaryota, Metazoa, Chordata, Actinopteri, Salmoniformes, Salmonidae. The record is from RefSeq and is a predicted model, not a curated record. The transcript has 3 exons.